UGUAACGCGUGGAUAACCUGCCCAUUAGACCGGGAUGACGCCGGGAAACUGGUGCUAAUACCGGAUACGCUCACUGGGUCGCAUGGUCUGGUGAGGAAAGGUUAAUUCCGCUAAUGGAUGGGUCCGCGUCCCAUUAGCUUGUUGGUAGGGUAACGGCCUACCAAGGCGACGAUGGGUAGCCGGCCUGAGAGGGCGACCGGCCACACUGGAACUGAGACACGGUCCAGACUCCUACGGGAGGCAGCAGUGGGGAAUCUUCCGCAAUGGGCGCAAGCCUGACGGAGCAACGCCGCGUGAGCGAAGAAGGCCUUCGGGUUGUAAAGCUCUGUCCAGGGGGAAGAAGCAAGUGACGGUACCCUUGGAGGAAGCCCCGGCUAACUACGUGCCAGCAGCCGCGGUAAAACGUAGGGGGCGAGCGUUGUCCGGAAUUACUGGGCGUAAAGGGCGUGUAGGCGGCAAUGCAAGUCAGGAGUGAAACCCGCCGGCUCAACCGGCGGCCUGCUUCUGAAACUGCAUAGCUUGAGUGCAGGAGAGGGAAGUGGAAUUCCCAGUGUAGCGGUGAAAUGCGUAGAUACUGGGAGGAACACCAGUGGCGAAAGCGGCUUCCUGGCCUGUAACUGACGCUGAGGCGCGAAAGCGUGGGGAGCAAACAGGAUUAGAUACCCUGGUAGUCCACGCCGUAAACGAUGGGUGCUAGGUGUUGGGGGUAUCGACCCCUCCAGUGCCGCAGUUAACGCAAUAAGCACCCCGCCUGGGGAGUACGGGCCGCAAGGCUGAAACUCAAAGGAAUUGACGGGGGCCCGCACAAGCGGUGGAGCAUGUGGUUUAAUUUCGACGCAACGCGAAGAACCUUACCAGGUCUUGACAUCC
RNAcentral lists this ribosomal RNA (870 nucleotides) under uncultured Peptococcaceae bacterium. RNAcentral's name for it is "bacterial SSU rRNA". It matches the Rfam family "Bacterial small subunit ribosomal RNA", at positions 109 to 989 of the family's 1533-position model. Lineage: Bacteria; Bacillati; Bacillota; Clostridia; Eubacteriales; Peptococcaceae. The record is from RNAcentral.